RNAcentral lists this ribosomal RNA (253 nucleotides) under uncultured bacterium. Its description in RNAcentral is "partial 16S ribosomal RNA". It matches the Rfam family "Bacterial small subunit ribosomal RNA", at positions 524 to 776 of the family's 1533-position model. The record is from RNAcentral.
UACGAGGGGGGCAAGCGUUGUUCGGAAUUACUGGGCGUAAAGCGUGCGCAGGCGGUUUUGUAAACCAAAUUUGAAAUCCCCGGGCUUAACCUGGGAAUGGCAUUUGGGACUGCAAGGCUGGAGUUUGGCAGAGGAGACUGGAAUUCCUGGUGUAGCAGUGAAAUGCGUAGAUAUCAGGAGGAAUACCGAUGGCGAAGGCAGAUCUCUGGGCUAUAACUGACGCUCAUGCACGAAAGCGUGGGGAGCAAACAGG